CAGGGAUUGCCUCAGUAACGGCGAGUGAAGCGGCAACAGCUCAAAUUUGAAAUCUGGCCGCAAGGUCCGAGUUGUAAUUUGUAGAGGAUGUUUCGGGUGUGGUCCAGUCUAAGUUCCUUGGAACAGGACGUCAUAGAGGGUGAGAAUCCCGUAUGUGACUGGGUGCCUAAUCCCAUGUGAAACUCCUUCAACGAGUCGAGUUGUUUGGGAAUGCAGCUCAAAAUGGGUGGUAAAUUUCAUCUAAAGCUAAAUAUUGGCCAGAGACCGAUAGCGCACAAGUAGAGUGAUCGAAAGAUGAAAAGCACUUUGGAAAGAGAGUUAAACAGUACGUGAAAUUGUUGAAAGGGAAGCGCUUGCAACCAGACUUGCACGCAGCUGAUCAUCCGGUGUUCUCACCGGUGCACUCGGUUGCGUUCAGGCCAGCAUCGGUUUUGGUGGUGGGAUAAAGGCCCUAGGAAUGUGGCUCCUCUCGGGGAGUGUUAUAGCCUAGGGUGCAAUGCCGCCUACCGGGACCGAGGACCGCGCUUCGGCUAGGAUGCUGGCGUAAUGGUUGUAAGCGACCCGUCUUGAAACACGGACCAAGGAGUCUAACAUCUAUGCGAGUGUUUGGGUGUCAAACCCAUACGCGUAAUGAAAGUGAACGGAGGUGAGAACCCUUAAGGGUGCAUCAUCGACCGAUCCUGAUGUCUUCGGAUGGAUUUGAGUAAGAGCAUAGCUGUUGGGACCCGAAAGAUGGUGAACUAUGCCUGAAUAGGGUGAAGCCAGAGGAAACUCUGGUGGAGGCUCGCAGCGGUUCUGACGUGCAAAUCGAUCGUCAAAUUUGGGUAUAGGGGCGAAAGACUAAUCGAACCAUCUAGUAGCUGGUUCCUG
This 870-nucleotide ribosomal RNA is filed under the name Holwaya mucida. Its description in RNAcentral is "partial large subunit ribosomal RNA". It matches the Rfam family "Eukaryotic large subunit ribosomal RNA", at positions 69 to 960 of the family's 3401-position model. The record is from RNAcentral. Lineage: Eukaryota; Fungi; Ascomycota; Leotiomycetes; Thelebolales; Holwayaceae.